UUCUAUGAUAUCUGUCUCUAUCGAAAGCUAACUUCUUCCCAAAAUCAAGAAAAUGAAAAUCUCUUUUUAUUUUUCAUUCCUCCUUCUUGUUCUCUUGAUUGAUUCUGGAAAACAAGUUGAAAUGGCAGUGGUGCCUGAUUGUGAUGUAGUAAGAUUGCCAAAUGAUCAUUGUGAUCCACUCAAGAAUGAUUGCGACAGUCAUUGCAAAGCAUAUUUCAAAUCACAAACUGCACAUGGAUCCUGUGGCAUUCAGUUUCAUACAUGUGUUUGUUAUAGUUGCUAAAUAUAAUUUUCAUCUAUAUUAAUCGCAGCUUUCCCAAAAUGAAUGUGUGACGAUGAACUGAAAAAAGUAUAAUAAAAUGGCUCUAUUAUUAGUCUGUCUUUA
Cajanus cajan (pigeon pea) is the source of this 385-nucleotide long non-coding RNA. RefSeq lists it as uncharacterized. The record is from RefSeq and is a predicted model, not a curated record. NCBI's taxonomy places the organism in Eukaryota, Viridiplantae, Streptophyta, Magnoliopsida, Fabales, Fabaceae.